UCAUAAAUAUUUCUAUAAUAUAAUGAUUUUUUUCUAGUGUCUUUGUCCAGCGCUGUCUUUGGCUUAAUUGCGUAAGGCAGGUGGCAGUUGCUGUUGCCGAUGUUGCUGUUGGUGGAAGAGAAUAAGACACGGUCACAGACAGGCCACUUUAAAGUUGUUCCCGUUGGUGAUUAGUGACGGGUCUCCGUCUCCGGCUCCUGCUCCUACUCCAACUCCAACUCCAACUCCAGCUACAGUGCCCUCCACAUCCAGUAGACCACAGUCCGGCCUCAGUACGAGUGCUUUCCAUUAUGGCCAAGUGUCAAAUUAAGUGCUCACAUGAUUAAUAUUUGUGGCCGGCAGGCAUUGUUCCAUUGCAUUCGGCCAAUUCCAGUUCGGCUCCUGUUGUGGGUCCGUGCAAUUUUCUCGCUGAUUAACCGUGUCGCUUGGCUAUUAACUUUUAAUUGUGAGCCCCGUACCCAAACGCAUCAGCAUCAGUCUAUCCCUUGAGGUAUUUUCUAGCCAUAAAGUCAAUUGAUGUAUUUGGCAUUGCCCGAUGUUUUACGAUGUCCUGGAACGGAUCCGCGACAAUGAGCAGCGGAAAUUGGCAGACAUUGCUUCUAGCCCCAGUGAUGUCAUUUAAUUGUGACAGCGAUGACCCACUUUCACUGCGGAGGGAAUGUGAACAGCUGUCAGGCAUACGGUGAAAUAUUGGACAUCCCUCGGGACAUGACCAGAACCGAUAAUCCACGAGACAGGGUGCAGGAGGCGGAGGCCACAGACUCCUCCCAUCACUCAUCCAACUGAAGCCGAAACAAAAGACAAAAGGCGGCCACCGGCAAACAUGGAGAACUCUCGUACUUCCGAUUUCGCAGAUUGCAAUAAUGAGACAAGAGAUCGCCCACACACAAAGCCUCAAAGACAAAAGACAGAAAGCCCCUUGAAACAAAUAUUUUCAAUUUAUAAUCUAAAUUUCAGAUAUAAAAUACGAACA
RNAcentral lists this unclassified non-coding RNA (973 nucleotides) under Drosophila ananassae. RNAcentral describes it as "GF27559". The record is from RNAcentral. Lineage: Eukaryota; Metazoa; Arthropoda; Insecta; Diptera; Drosophilidae.